GCUGGUGAACUCAGUUGGUUAGCAUGUGGUGCUAAUAACACCAAGGUUGCGGGUUCGAUCCACACAGGACAGCU
Molecule: non-coding RNA, 74 nt
Organism: Pangasianodon gigas (Mekong giant catfish)
Lineage: Eukaryota; Metazoa; Chordata; Actinopteri; Siluriformes; Pangasiidae
Source: the annotation of a GenBank genome assembly